GGAUGAGUGUCCGAGCGGUCGAAGGAGACGGUCUUGAAAACCGUUGAUGGGAAACCAUCCGCGAGUUCGAAUCUCGCCUCAUCCGCCU
Molecule: transfer RNA, 88 nt
Filed under: Bifidobacterium dolichotidis
Lineage: Bacteria; Bacillati; Actinomycetota; Actinomycetes; Bifidobacteriales; Bifidobacteriaceae
Description: Bifidobacterium sp. 2036B tRNA-Ser
Rfam family: tRNA
About the family: Transfer RNA (tRNA) molecules are approximately 80 nucleotides in length. Their secondary structure includes four short double-helical elements and three loops (D, anti-codon, and T loops).
Source: RNAcentral